AGAGUUUGAUCCUGGCUCAGGAUGAACGCUAGCGGCAGGCCUAAUACAUGCAAGUCGAACGGUGGUAGCAAUACCAUAGUGGCGCACGGGUGCGUAACACGUAACUAACCUACCCAUCAUUGGGGGAUAGCCCGCCGAAAGGCGGAUUAAUACCGCAUAAGACAAUAGAAGGGCAUCCUUUAGUUGUUAAAGAUUUAUUGAUGAUGGAUGGGGUUGCGGGUCAUUAGCUAGUUGGUAAGGUAACGGCUUACCAAGGCGACGAUGACUAGGGGAGCUGAGAGGCUGGUCCCCCACACGGGCACUGAGAUACGGGCCCGACUCCUACGGGAGGCAGCAGUAGGGAAUAUUGGGCAAUGGACGAGAGUCUGACCCAACCAUGCCGCGUGCAGGAAGAAGGCUUUCUGAGUCGUAAACUGCUUUUGACAGGGAAGAAUAAGCACUACGUGUAGUGUGAUGACGGUACCUGCAGAAUAAGCACCGGCUAACUCCGUGCCAGCAGCCGCGGUAAUACGGAGGGUGCGAGCGUUGUCCGGAUUUAUUGGGUUUAAAGGGUGCGUAGGCGGCCCGUUAAGUCCGGGGUGAAAGCCCGUUGCUCAACUACGGAACUGCCCUGGAUACUGACGGGCUUGAGUACAGACGAGGUUGGCGGAAUGGACCGAGUAGCGGUGAAAUGCAUAGAUACGGUCCAGAACCCCGAUUGCGAAGGCAGCUGACUAGGCUGUUACUGACGCUGAGGCACGACAGCGUGGGGAGCGAACAGGAUUAGAUACCCUGGUAGUCCACGCCGUAAACGAUGGAUACUCGGUGCGAGGUACAUAUUGCUCUUGCCUUACCGAAACUGAUGAAUUUCCCGCCUGGGCAGGAGAGCACCGACGGUGAGAUUCAAAUGAAUUGACUUGAGCCCGGCCCGCUGAAGCAGCAUGUGGUGUAAUUCAAUUAUACGCGAGGAACCUAACCUUACCUAGAAUGGACGUGACCCGGACAGACCUGAACCUUUCCUUCCCGCUUGCAAGCAGGGUGCUGGUGGUGCAUGGUUGUCUCCUGCUCGUGGGGUGGUGAUGUUAAGUCCCGUCCCGCAACGACCCCUACCCUCAGUUUAUGUUGUGUAAUGAUGAUGGACUCUAACUCGACUGACACUGCCGGCAUCGAGGAAGACGAAGACGACGACGAGUCAUCAUGGCCCUUACCCCUAUGUCGACACAUUCGCUAUGUGGACUGGCCGGUACUAGCUACACAGAUAUGUGAGGCGAUCUAAUCACCCGUUCUCAGUCUCGAUUGGAAUCGGCGACUGCACUCCUGACCCUGAAAUC
This 1310-nucleotide ribosomal RNA is filed under the name uncultured bacterium. RNAcentral describes it as "partial 16S rRNA". It matches the Rfam family "Bacterial small subunit ribosomal RNA", at positions 8 to 1333 of the family's 1533-position model. The record is from RNAcentral.